AUGAUGAGACCUAAAUAUCUGGGUGACAUGGGCUUUAGAGAUCUAGAGAUUUUUAAUUUGUCCUUCCUGGCCACGAAAGCAUGGAGGAUACUACAAGAGCCUAAUUCUUUGAGUGCACGAAUUCUCAAAUCAGUUUAUUUUCCCGUCACAUCUAUUUUGAAUGUAACUUUGGGCUCUCACCCUUCAUAGGUUUGGAGAUCAAUUAUUGAAGGAAGGGAUGUUCUAGUCCAAGGUCUUAUUAGGCGGAUUGGUGAUGGAACCAACACAGAAAUUUGGAAUCAUAACUUGUUACCAAGGGAAGAUUCUAUGAGGCCUAUAACAACGCCCAAUAAUAAUGACUUUAUUGUUUGGACCUCAUUGAUGAGACUAUAG
Molecule: ribosomal RNA, 372 nt
Filed under: Triticum aestivum (bread wheat)
Lineage: Eukaryota; Viridiplantae; Streptophyta; Magnoliopsida; Poales; Poaceae
Description: partial small subunit ribosomal RNA
Source: RNAcentral